GUAGGUGGCAAGCGUUGUCCGGAAUUAUUGGGCGUAAAGCGCGCGCAGGCGGGGUCCUUUAAGUCUGAUGUGAAAGCCCACGGGCUCAACCGUGGAGGGUCAUUGGAAACUGGGGGACUUGAGUACAGAAGAGGAAAGCGGAAUUCCAAGUGUAGCGGUGAAAUGCGUAGAGAUUUGGAGGAACACCAGUGGCGAAGGCGGCUUUCUGGUCUGUAACUGACGCUGAGGCGCGAAAGCGUGGGGAGCAAACAGGAUUAGAUACCCUGGUAGUCCACGCCGUAAACGAUGAGUGCUAAGUGUUAGGGGGUUUCCGCCCCUUAGUGCUGCAGCUAACGCAUUAAGCACUCCGCCUGGGGAGUACGGCCGCAAGGCUG
RNAcentral lists this ribosomal RNA (374 nucleotides) under uncultured organism. RNAcentral's name for it is "partial 16S ribosomal RNA". It matches the Rfam family "Bacterial small subunit ribosomal RNA", at positions 527 to 896 of the family's 1533-position model. The record is from RNAcentral.